This 1396-nucleotide long non-coding RNA is filed under the name Homo sapiens (human). Its description in RNAcentral is "HSALNT0346637". The record is from RNAcentral. Lineage: Eukaryota; Metazoa; Chordata; Mammalia; Primates; Hominidae.
UUUGAACUGUGGACCUCUGAGUUAAUGCUGAAAUGAGGGGCAGAGAGAUGGCUUUUUCAGGAUGGCAGCAAGGAACAUUUCAUGGAGCACACAUUGGAUUUGAGCUUGCCCUUGAGGAUCUGGACGACAGAAAAAGGCUUCCUUAUGAUGGAAACCUGGUCUGGGUUGCUCACCACUGAACCUCCUCACACCUGGAGCCGUGCCUAGCACAAGGAGCUUACGUAUCCUCAGAAGAGAAGAAACAGAGACGAUUGCUGUCUUCAUUUUAGAGACAAAGAACCCGAGGCGUAGAGAGCCAGGAAAUGGAGGUAAUGACUUCUGCCCUGGAGGACUACAUGGCAUCUUCUAUGUUGAAACCACUUUCAAAGUUUUCAAAACUAUACACCCAUCAUGUAUCACUAAUAUAGCUCGAUAUACUACGGAUCACAGUCCUGACUUCAACUGUUAGUGUAAUGUCUCAUCAACACUGAGAACACGUUAUGUGGUGUUUUACUGUCAUGAACGAAACCUAUUUCCCCAGAAAAACUGGCAGAUAUUAGCAUUAAUCUGAUUUUUCAAAGAAGUUAAUUAUUUCCCAGAAUAAGUCACUGUGACUUAUCAAAGGGCCUUGGUUGGUGGGAAGUAAAGCCCAGACUGCAUUCUUGAAGCUGCUAGCCUUUGCCAGCUCAUUGCAAAUUGAGCAACACUGAUGAACCCACAGUUAAUCUAUGGAGUCAAAUGCAACUGGACACAAAUGCCUGGGGAUUUUCCCUGUGAGAUUCUCUUGCCCUUCUGGUGAUGGUGAAGGACAGCACUACCCAUGGCAGGGGCGGUCACUAGUCUCUGGCAUUUACUUGACCUUAUGGCUGCCAUGAACACCAGGCACAGCCUUUGCAGGAGGCACUGCUGCCUUCAGCCUGCCUGGCCUGGGGGCGCAGAGAGGAAAGGGAUAUGGGCUUUUGCAAAAGGCCCCUAGAGCAAAGUCAGACUGAUGGCAAAGGCUUGAGUGCUCGAUGGGCGAGGGAGAUGCUUUCGCUUCAAUUUUCACUGAGUAAUGAGGCGUACUGAGCAAAAUACACUUGUCCUUGGAAUGUGAGGCACACACGUGGCAGGCAUAAAGUUAUAAAAAGGAGGAGCUCCUUAGUCUGCUGAACUUAAAGACUUAUCUUGCCUUCCUGCUGUUAAUUCUUUACAGAGACUUCCUCUUCUCCAUUUCCCAGGGUUCUCCAUGGGGAUGUGCUUGAGGGAGAAUGAGCAGUUUAAGAGAAAAGAAUUCCUCCAGAGUGGGUUGUGGAGAGCACUGGAGAAGGUCUGGGCUGGAGCUAGAGAUUUACCUUGGCUAAAGAUAAGAGUCUGUGGUGUAUAUACACAAUGGAAUACCAUUCAGCCUUGAAAAAGAAGGAAAUAUGUCAUCAGU